UACGUAGGGGGCUAGCGUUGUCCGGAAUCAUUGGGCGUAAAGCGCGUGUAGGCGGCCCGGUAAGUCCGCUGUGAAAGUCGGGGGCUCAACCCUCGGAUGCCGGUGGAUACUGUCGGGCUCGAGUACGGAAGAGGCGAGUGGAAUUCCUGGUGUAGCGGUGAAAUGCGCAGAUAUCAGGAGGAACACCGAUUGCGAAGGCAGCUCGCUGGGACGUGGCUGACGCUGAGACGCGAAAGCGUGGGGAGCAAACAGG
This 253-nucleotide ribosomal RNA is filed under the name uncultured bacterium. Its description in RNAcentral is "partial 16S ribosomal RNA". It matches the Rfam family "Bacterial small subunit ribosomal RNA", at positions 524 to 776 of the family's 1533-position model. The record is from RNAcentral.